AAUUCCUUGUCGGGUAAGUUCCGACCUGCACGAAUGGCGUAACGACUUCCCCACUGUCUCGACCAGGAGCUCGGCGAAAUUGCAGUACGAGUAAAGAUGCUCGUUAAGCGCAGAAGGACGAAAAGACCCCGGGACCUUUACUAUACCUUGGUAUUGGCAUUCGGUGUGGAUUGUGUAGCAUAGGCGGGAGGCCGAGAGGCGCGGUCGCCAGAUCGCGCGGAGCCGUAAGGUGAAAUACCGCUCUGUUCGCAUUGGAUGUCUAACCUCGAACAGUCAUCCUGUUCAGGGACAGUGCCUGGCGGGUAGUUUAACUGGGGCGGUUGCCUCCCAAAGAGUAACGGAGGCGCCCAAAGGUCCGCUCAGCCCGGUUGGCAAUCGGGUGGCGAGUGCAAGUGCACAAGCGGGCUUGACUGCGAGGACGACGGUCCGAGCAGGGACGAAAGUCGGGACUAGUGAUCCGGUGCCGGUGUACGGACGCGGCAUCGCUCAACGGAUAAAAGGUACCCCGGGGAUAACAGGCUGAUCAUUCCCAAGAGUCCAUAUCGACGGGAUGGUUUGGCACCUCGAUGUCGGCUCGUCGCAUCCUGGGGCUGGAGCAGGUCCCAAGGGUUCGGCUGUUCGCCGAUUAAAGCGGCACGCGAGCUGGGUUCAGAACGUCGUGAGACAGUUUGGUCUCUAUCCUCUGCGCUCGUUGGAAUGCUGAGGAGGCCUGCCCAUAGUACGAGAGGACCUGGGUGGACGAACCUCUGGUAUGCCGGUUGUCACGCCAGUGGCACGGCCGGUUGGCUACGUUCGGAAGGGAUAACCGCUGAAAGCAUCUAAGCGGGAAGCCUGCUCCAAGAUAAGCAUUCCGUGGAACCUUCGAGUUCCUGUAGUCCCCAUGCAGAACACGUGGUCGAUAGGCCGGACGUGGAAGCCCCGCGAGGGGUGGAGCCGACCGGUACUAACGGACGAAAGGCAACACUAA
Molecule: ribosomal RNA, 967 nt
Filed under: human gut metagenome
Description: bacterial LSU rRNA
Rfam family: Bacterial large subunit ribosomal RNA
Source: RNAcentral